Cavia porcellus (domestic guinea pig) is the source of this 3714-nucleotide long non-coding RNA. RefSeq lists it as uncharacterized. The transcript has 2 exons. Lineage: Eukaryota; Metazoa; Chordata; Mammalia; Rodentia; Caviidae. The record is from RefSeq and is a predicted model, not a curated record.
UCGCACUGUAGGAGAAAAAAAUUCACCAAUUUACCUGUUGGGCAACUUCUCCAAUGACAGAGAGCCCAGUUCGAUCCCUUAGGGUAUCCCCUGCCAUCGCUUUGUCAAAGACAUCCCUCUUCUCUGUCUUUAAGGCCUUUUACAGAAGGAGCAAGCCUACCCCUUUCCCCAUACCCUCUGUGGUGGCCAAUGACCACUUCCUCUCAGAGGCACCCACUAGUACAGUUCUCUGGCCUUCACCUCCCUCUCCAUCAACAACCAGGUUGCAGAAAACACUUCUCUUCAAUAGUUAGGGAGUCUGGAACAUCCACGAGUGCUCUAUCAGUUCGUGUGACUCACCUCCAGCAGUUCACCCUGAGAAGCAUCUCCCAACACAGUGGUUUCCACCCUGUCCCCCACCAGACCCCACACAACAGGAAGAGGCUUGGUCAGAUCUCAAAUGCUACCCUCACUCUGAGCUCUCAUUCAGGGCCCAGAACCUAGCCUCGGGCAACAGCUACCCUGAGAGCAGAAUCUAGUUAGGGGUGAGGAAUCCCAAAGAACGAACAGAGCUCUAGGAUGGACUCUAAAUUCUCUUUGCCCUGCUCAUCUCCUCCACAGGCUUUGCUGGGAUAAGGGAUCUUGGACCUGUAAACACUCCUGAAGGCCUCUUGCCAAAGGCUCUGUUUACCCUGGACAAGCCUUGGAAAAGCUGUAAAUCUCACACCAGCUCUCCUGCCAGGACAUGUCCCUCAGGGAAACCAAGACAAAGCUCAGACUGACAGGCAGGCAGUUCAUGCCCCCGGAGCCUCCCAGCCCUUCCCACACCAAGGGACAGCUGGUGACAUCCUGCUCUCAUGGGCAGCUCCCAUACAGGGAGUGUCGUUAAGAGAAGGGAGGACUUGAACCAAGCUUGGGCUAAUCUUGACCCCCUGGACUGGCCCAGGCCACAAGCCUUCCCUUACAGGAGCAAGAGGCUGCAAGACAAAUGCAAGCAUCAGAACAGCGCCAGCAUGGCACAGUGGGGCCAGCACAGCCAAGGGUCCCUGGUACAGGGAGCGGGCAGCACAGCCAGAGGUGCCCCCACCACUGGUCCCGGGGAGCAAGCAGCCAGUUAGAAGACCAGGGAACUCUAUUCCUCUUCCAAAGAAGCAAGCAGGUAGAUGUGGGAGGAAGAGAAGCCAAGAGGCCUCCUCUAGCACACACAGCACUACAGCUCUGAGUACCAUAAACUGCCGUUGACUCUCCAAGGCAUCAUGUCAAGAUCUAUCACUUAUUUUUCACAACAUAUGAGGUAGGUGCUUCCCUCCCUCCCCCUUCCCACUAUGGAUAAGCUCUGGAAAGCUAAGUCCUUCACAGCUCCUGAAGGUAGCACGGCUGGGGCUUAAUCUCAGGUCAGUCUUACCCGGAACCCUUAUUUGGAAUACAACACGAGGCUGAGCCUCAGGGAAACCUACCCCAUCGUAGUUCCUGGGCUACCGCAAUUUCACCACUGUCCCCUCAGACCUGGCUUCUGCCUCUGCCCUUCUUCCUGGUUGCUGCCAAGGCCAGCCUCACUGCACAGCCCAGCUGUUUUCUGCUCCCUCCCUCCACCCACUCAAAGGUAUUUCUCUGGCCCCAGACUCAGGGCCCCUGCCUGGUAUUAACUGGGUCUCCAGCCGACUAAGAUGGGCAGCUGGGUUGGGCUGACAGCUCUGGGGGUGAUCCCUGAGGGGCUUCAGAACGAGCCAGGAUUUGGAAGCCAGAAUGUGCCUCCCUCACACUUACUGGCUGAGGAGCAGAGAGAAGGCUGGGGCUGCAUGCCUGCAGAGGGGGCUGUUCUGUCCCAGGAGCUCCGUCCUUCAGGCACCGAGCUGCCAUUCCCAGUGCGGAGCGGGGCAGCUAGCCAGCCAGGGCAGGGCAGGGCAAGGCAGAGCAGCCAAAACAAACAGAACAAGGCAGGUGAGCGAGCAAGCUGGACAGAACCCGAGCCCGGGGCGCUGCAGAGCCGGAGCAAAGUGAUGUUCAGGCUGCUGUGGGCACUGGACUGCACCCCACUCCGCUGCUCCUGCCAGAGGCCUCCCAGCCGGAAGCACCAGGAAGGUGCACAGAUGGACCUGGGCUUGCGGCUUCCAGCCGAGCCUUAAACAGCCUGCACAGAGACCCCUGUUCCCAAGAAGACCUUCGAGGGCCACAAGCCUGACAGCCCAGUCUAAAGGGUGUCUUCUACUCUGCCAGCAGCACCAUAAUUGAACUGAUCUGACCUGGCUCCCAGCAACCAGGUGGCAGCAUUCCUUAUUACUGUAUAUGUUUCUGCUUUUGAUUUUUGUUGUUUUGUUUUUGGCUUCCAAAAGUCCAGCGCCUCUUAUUGCCCAUGGACAUGCUUCAGCUCGGCCCUUCAACAUCCUCCGUUUCCUGUGGUGCCUGCCUCAACGUAACUUACUGAAGGCAAAAGGAACAACUCCAGGAGGCCAACUCAAAGAGGACAGAGAAUACCGCUGGUAGGGCCUGCCAUGCUCCCCAUGCUCCAGGACACUCUGGGAAGCCCCAAAACCCAGGCUGUAGUCCUCACGGCUCACCAAGACAGCUGAGUGUGGCCUCACAGACUUACAGUUCUAACUCCCACCCACGGCCAACUCUCAGGACCAGAGUACCCAACUCAUUCCAGAGGGCCUGAGAAUGCCUUGGGCUUUGCUUUUUUUCUUUUGGUGCUGAGGACUGAACAUGCUUUUAUGUGCUCUACCAUUAGGCAACAUAUCCUCAGUCCUUAUCCGUUUUUCUGUUUUGUUUUGUGUGUGUGUGUUGGGAAUUAGAACUCAGGACCUUGCAUUUGCCAGGCAGGUACUGUACUGCUGAGUUACAUCCCUGGCUUACCCCUUAUUUACUUGUUUGUCUUUUUUUCUUUUUUUAUCGGUACCAGGGAUCAAACUCACGACCGCACACUUGCAAGGCAGGCGCUUAUGCCGCUGAGCUAAAUCCCCAGCCCCCAUUAUUUUGGUUUUGAAACUGAGUUUUACAUCCUGGGAAUUGCAUUGGGAAACCAGGAUGCCCUACUGGGUGCCCAACUUCUGCAGAAACCUGAGAUGCCCCUGUUGUUGGACAACACAUCAUUAUUAGCAACAGAAGUUCUGAGCCUUGGCUCCAGGAAGAGCUAAUUUAACUAAUCUAGACUUAGGUCAAAGAAAAAGACUUUCAUUCAGCCUAGCAACACCAGACAGGGGCCUUAUAUCUUGGCCCAUGGAAAGUUGUUUUCAUGCCAAAUCCUCUCCUGGCAAUGAGCAUCCACCAAUUCCAGUUCUGAAGACAGACAAGGUAGGUGGCCCGUUGCAGUUGAGGUAUUGGGGUCACAGCCGGGGUUCCUUUUCCCUCCAAGGACCAGCACCUACCUUUGAGGUCCUCAUCUUCUGUAGUAGUGUUGCAGCUCUCUGUGGAGCCCUGUGGGCCAAAAAGAAUGUGUUUCUAUAUACUCGAAGCUUGAAAGCUCAAAGGAGCAAGCAAAACAAAAGCAAAGCAUUAGCUACUACAAGAAGGGCCACGAGGAAUCUCAGAAGUUUCUACUUCCACCCUUGCUUUCUGAGUUAUGAAGCUCUGGGCUCCCAAAUGCUGUCCUACUCUUUUCCAACUCAGUACAUUACCCCAUGGACCCAAUUACUCAACACAUGAAAACCUGCAGUCACCCUUGAUUCUUCUCUCUUUCCUUUAUGUUCUGGUCAACUAAUCUAAAAUAAAAUCUUUUGGUUCUAGCUGUAAAAUAAA